GCUGUAGCGCAGUGGAUAGCGCGUUGGACUUCUAAUCCAAAGGUCGUGGGUUCGAUCCCCACCAGGGAUG
This 70-nucleotide transfer RNA is filed under the name Schistocerca americana (American grasshopper). Its description in RNAcentral is "tRNA-Arg". It matches the Rfam family "tRNA", at positions 5 to 66 of the family's 71-position model. Rfam says of the family: Transfer RNA (tRNA) molecules are approximately 80 nucleotides in length. Their secondary structure includes four short double-helical elements and three loops (D, anti-codon, and T loops). Lineage: Eukaryota; Metazoa; Arthropoda; Insecta; Orthoptera; Acrididae. The record is from RNAcentral.